ACAUUUUAAUAGACAUUCUUGAAAAUGAUCUUAUGUAAUCAGUACUUUUUUAAGCUUCACAGAAGGAUUUAGAAGACAAUUUGUGCUUCUACUGUAUAUUAAUUAAGGAAAUCAACUUCACUGUAGAUACCAGGAAGGACUUAAGAGGUCUAAAGAACUUCAAGAGCUGAAGGAGGAGGAAGAGAAAGCGGAAGAGAAGCCGAAGGACUCUGAGGAGGAAGCAAGAGGAAAUACUGAUAAAGACAGGAAGACUAAUAGCAGGUUCGAGGAGGCAUUAGAGGUCUUUGACCGGAUAUUCCCAAAAUUCUUCCGAGGAAAUCGAGUGCUCUGGAUCGUCCUCACUCUGUUUUUCGCUUCAUUCAUACUUGUUAAUGUCAUAAGCUUCUUCAGUAACCGCUACAGUGAGAGCGGAGACACGUCUGCAGAGAAGUCCGCCGUCCCAGGCAAGACGUUUUUUGGACUGAAUGUAGGGUCGAAGACUCCUGCCCCAGAAUGACAUUAUUUCCUUCCAUCACGGAGAGACAGAUCAAGGGAAUUCUGCUGGCAAUUUCCUUACCAAACACAGCUCAUAUUGUUUCUACCAGUCUUUCACACUGCAUUUAGAAAAUAGCAGAACUACUUGUUAUUGUUUAGGGACCAAGUGUAAUUAGAUGAGCAAUCAGAUUUGCUUUGUAAACUAAAUUGAUAAGUUAUAAUACUUGAGGUUGGGAUUUCUUGAAAUCCGUUUUCUUAAGACUGUCACGUUUGAUAUAUGAUUAUACCACUCGAACCUUAUGAUUAAACUUCUCAGGUUUUGUGAAAUAUAUAUUUGAAAUAUUAGGUACAAUAUUUAAUACAGAAUUUGGUACAGUAUGUUUUAAAGUCUUUGCGAUUGUUUAUGUUGUUUAUUUGAGUUGACAUUCCAAGGUAGAUCCUAAAGUGCAAUAUUUUGCGACUGGUAGUUGAGUUUAAUAGUACAGAAUUUUUCACAAUUUUCAAGAGCACUUUUAACUAGCAUGAGAGAGUUCAUAUUUGCACAUGUGUGCUUGUGUUUACUGUUGUGCCACUUCACCUUGUAAUAAAGGUGUUUGAAAAUCACACGUGGUUGUUUCUAGAGUACAUGUGCUAUUCAAUGCGUGGUAGAAAUUUAAGCCUAUUUUUUUAGGACAAUUAAAGUUCAUGACUUUGUCAUAAUGAUGACUUUUAUGCCAUAAUAAUAAGAAUUACUUCUUAUGUCCUAAUGACAACUUAGUAUCUCAUAAUUUCAACAUCAUCAUUUUUAUGUAAUAAUUUUACCAAAGCAUUUUUUUCUUAUGUGG
Molecule: long non-coding RNA, 1298 nt
Filed under: Sinocyclocheilus grahami
Lineage: Eukaryota; Metazoa; Chordata; Actinopteri; Cypriniformes; Cyprinidae
Description: lncRNA (ENSSGRG00000028737.1)
Source: RNAcentral